UACGGGGGGAGCAAGCGUUGUUCGGAUUUACUGGGCGUAAAGGGCGCGUAGGCGGCCACCGCAAGUCGGUUGUGAAAUCUCCGGGCUUAACCCGGAAAGGUCAAUCGAUACUGCGGGGCUAGAGUGCAGAAGGGGCAACUGGAAUUCUCGGUGUAGCGGUGAAAUGCGUAGAUAUCAGGAGGAACACCGGUGGCGAAGGCGGGUCUCUGGGCAGUAACUGACGCUGAGGAGCGAAAGCGUGGGGAGCAAACAGG
Molecule: ribosomal RNA, 254 nt
Filed under: uncultured bacterium
Lineage: Bacteria
Description: partial 16S ribosomal RNA
Rfam family: Bacterial small subunit ribosomal RNA
Source: RNAcentral